AAACAUUUAUCCUAUCGUGCUACUCUGCAGUGGGGCUCUUGGUGCCAUCCUCCUGAUUGUCCUGGUUAGUUGCUGCAUCCAUUGGAAAUUGAAGAGACGUAGAAAUACCAAAGGCAAAGACAACAGACAAACCCUAUGACUAUGAUGUUUGAAAAUCUCAACCACACCAAUCAUCAGAAGUGGACACACACCAAAGGACUCUUAAAAACCACUCCCAAACUGGGUUUUCACCAUCUUAAGAAAGUUUUUUCUCUGGAUUGAUAGAAAUACCUGGAUCUAAUUGUGUUAGUGCCUAAACCAUGGUAAACCAUCAGUAUCCUUAAAAGUUAGAAGUAGCAACUAGAACAUUGUAGUGUAAAUACUGUUUACUGUUUAACCAAAAUGGAUUAAAUGUAACAUUUUAAUACAUUCUUUUCAGUUCUGUUGGCUUAUAAACUCUUCAUAACCAUAUAGCAUGCUUCUGUUUAUUCCAUCUAACAUCCAAUAGUUACACUUUACUGGGCUGCUUUAUUUAAUCAAGAAACUUUGUUUGUUGCAUCUCAAACGACAAACUUUUAACCUUUGCCACACAAACUCAGUUUCAGGAAUCUUCAAGAUAGUUUCCAUCCCAGAUCUGCAAUCCUAUUUAAGUCUGACCUUGAUGGUAGAAUUAAUGAAUUAGAUUAAAUCCAACAUGGUUCUAUUCUACUCUGGUUUACCCUUGCCCCAACCAGCUGCUGAGCUUCACUGGUUGGUCCAAAGUUUAAAGGUAGUGAAACUAAGUUGUGCACAUCCUCAAAACCCCUUAUAGUAACUCACAUGAACUGUUUUAUCUAUAAUCAGACACUGAGCUGAGACCUAAACAUUAGCUUAUUUUUCUUCACACCUUUUCUCUAGUUUAUUGAUUCUUAACUUGUCCUAUAUCACCUCAAAUCAGCAUACUGUUGCCCUUUAACAUCAAAUGUUGUAAAUAGUGUUUAUCUUGUUCCAGAAUGUUUCCUGUUAUGAAAGUUUAACUUUAGUAGGGCACAGAGUUGGAGGCAAUUUUUUAGCCCUGGUCACAAAAAAUAUGUCUUACAAAAAACACAGAAAGCCUUUCUGAUUUUUAGAAAUUGCAUAUAUUAACAAAGCAAUCAGUAGAACUAAAACAUAACUCUUUUGUUGUGGUUUAAUUCCUCAGCAAACACAGGCCAUCGUCUGUACUGUGGUGGUUUUCCUCUCCUGAUUUUGCAGUUGAGAAAGUGAAUAGAUUCACUAGCUACGUUUUUAUGUUCAAUUUUAGUUUAGAUGUUGACUUUUUUAACAAUCACCUGGAUUUUCAACCUGAUUUUCUCAUCAUCAGCAUGUUCCUUAAGGCUCGUAAUGAAAAAAUGUAUUCUAUUAGUAGUUCGUUUAUCAUAAAUUAGGAGUUUUAGACCAAUGAUUUCUAAAACCCAUGUGUUUCCAAAGACUAGUUAUGCAAUGGGAUUGGAAAAGAUCAGGCUUUGUGAAUAUGUUUGAUAGUUUCUCCCACUGCACAUUGAAUGGUGAAGAGUUAUUGUGAACCUACAAUAAUUAGAAUAAUUUUGAAUGUGAAACAUCCAGACAGUGCGUGAGAGAAACAAGAGAACAAAAUAAAUUGGAAAAAGAAAAUAAAAAUGUCAUGUGUGUUGACACGUUUACUUUGUUUCACUUCUGUCAGCUCAUGUCAAAAUAACCUCAAGCUUCCUUUUAUCAUUUGUUGUGACGAAGUCAUGGAGUUUUCGAUAUGUACCCUUUUAGCCCACAGUUUGCUUAAUUUCUGUCUAUACUGUUAUAGGUUGAGUCAGCCUGAGGUAAUUUUUUUAAUUUUUGUAAAUUUUUGGUGUACAGUAUGGUUAAUUUUCUUUCUGUUUCAUUUUGAUAUCAUUGUCACUUGUUUAUUUUAGUUUAUUUUAAUUUCUGUCUUCUGUCCUUGUAUGAUUGGGAGUGUUGGGAAGUAAAAAAGUGGCAAAUA
Gambusia affinis (western mosquitofish) is the source of this 1954-nucleotide long non-coding RNA. RefSeq lists it as uncharacterized. The transcript has 2 exons. The record is from RefSeq and is a predicted model, not a curated record. NCBI's taxonomy places the organism in Eukaryota, Metazoa, Chordata, Actinopteri, Cyprinodontiformes, Poeciliidae.